RNAcentral lists this ribosomal RNA (253 nucleotides) under uncultured bacterium. RNAcentral's name for it is "partial 16S ribosomal RNA". It matches the Rfam family "Bacterial small subunit ribosomal RNA", at positions 524 to 776 of the family's 1533-position model. The record is from RNAcentral.
UACGUAGGGGGCAAGCGUUGUCCGGAAUCAUUGGGCGUAAAGAGCGUGUAGGCGGCCCGAUAAGUCCGCCGUGAAAGUCCAGGGCUCAACCCUGGAAUGGCGGUGGAAACUGUCGGGCUGGAGUCCGGAAGAGGCGAGUGGAAUUCCUGGUGUAGCGGUGAAAUGCGCAGAUAUCAGGAGGAACACCAAUGGCGAAGGCAGCUCGCUGGGACGGUACUGACGCUGAGACGCGAAAGCGUGGGGAGCAAACAGG